GUGCCAGCAGCCGCGGUACGACGGAGGAGGCAAGCGUUGUCCGGAAUCAUUGGGCGUAAAGAGCGCGUAGGCGGUUUUUCAAGUCGUAUGUGAAAACUUCAGGCUUAACCUGAUGAUUGCAUAUGAAACUGGAUAACUUGAGUACAGCAGAGGAAAGUGGAAUUCCUGGUGUAGCGGUGAAAUGUGCAGAUAUCAGGAAGAACACCAGUAGCGAAGGCGGCUUUCUGGGCUGUUACUGACGCUGAGGCGCGAAAGCUAGGGGAGCGAACAGGAUUAGAUACCCUGGUAGUCCUAGCCGUAAACGAUGGACACUAGGCGUGGGAAGUUAUCGACGCUUUCUGUGCCGAAGCUAACGCAUUAAGUGUCCCGCCUGGGGAGUACGGCCGCAAGGCUAAAACUCAAAUGAAUUGACGGGG
This 416-nucleotide ribosomal RNA is filed under the name uncultured prokaryote. RNAcentral's name for it is "bacterial SSU rRNA". It matches the Rfam family "Bacterial small subunit ribosomal RNA", at positions 505 to 918 of the family's 1533-position model. The record is from RNAcentral.